UACGUAGGGUGCAAGCGUUGUCCGGAAUUAUUGGGCGUAAAGAGCUCGUAGGCGGUUCGUCGCGUCGGCUGUGAAAUCCCGAGGCUCAACCUCGGGUCUGCAGUCGAUACGGGCGGACUGGAGUUCGGCAGGGGAGACUGGAAUUCCUGGUGUAGCGGUGAAAUGCGCAGAUAUCAGGAGGAACACCGGUGGCGAAGGCGGGUCUCUGGGCCGUAACUGACGCUGGAGGAGCGAAAGCGUGGGGAGCGAACGGG
Molecule: ribosomal RNA, 254 nt
Filed under: uncultured bacterium
Lineage: Bacteria
Description: partial 16S ribosomal RNA
Rfam family: Bacterial small subunit ribosomal RNA
Source: RNAcentral